UCGAGAAUUUUUCACAAUGGGCGCAAGCCUGAUGGAGCGACGCCGCGUGGGGGAUGAAGGGCUUCGGCUCGUAAACCCCUGUCAUUUGCGAACAAGGCUUACGACUUAAUACGUCGUAAGUUGAUAGUAGCGAAAGAGGAAGGGACGGCUAACUCUGUGCCAGCAGCCGCGGUAAUACAGAGGUCCCAAGCGUUGUUCGGAUUUACUGGGCGUAAAGGGUGCGUAGGUGGUAGGGUAAGUCUGAUGUGAAAUCUCCGGGCUCAACUCGGAAAUGGCAUUGGAAACUACCUUGCUCGAGGGUUGGAGGGGGGACUGGAAUGCUCGGUGUAGCAGUGAAAUGCGUAGAUAUCGAGCGGAACACCAGUGGCGAAGGCGAGUCCCUGGACAACUCCUGACACUGAGGCACGAAAGCUAGGGGAGCAAACAGGAUUAGAUACCCGCGUAGUCC
This 448-nucleotide ribosomal RNA is filed under the name uncultured bacterium. RNAcentral describes it as "bacterial SSU rRNA". It matches the Rfam family "Bacterial small subunit ribosomal RNA", at positions 355 to 796 of the family's 1533-position model. The record is from RNAcentral.